Molecule: ribosomal RNA, 407 nt
Filed under: uncultured bacterium
Lineage: Bacteria
Description: partial 16S ribosomal RNA
Rfam family: Bacterial small subunit ribosomal RNA
Source: RNAcentral
AUUGAACGCUGGCGGCAGGCCUAACACAUGCAAGUCGAGCGGAGCUGCCGACGGGCGAGUAAUGCCUAGGUAUCUGCCUGGUAGUGGGGGAUAACGUCCGGAAACGGGCGCUGAUACCGCACACUAUCAGAUGAGCCUAGGCCGGAUUAGCUAGUUGGUGAGGUAAAGGCCUACCAAGGCGACGAUCCGUAACUGGUCUGAGAGGAUGACCAGUCACACUGGAACUGAGACACGGUCCAGACUCCUACGGGAGGCAGCAGUCGGGAAUAUUGGACAAUGGGCGAAAGCCUGAUGCAGCCAUGCCGCGUGUGUGAAGAAGGUCUUCGGAUUGUAAAGCACUUUAAGUUGGGAGGCGUUACCAACAGAGUAAGCACCGGCUAACUUCGUGCCAGCAGCCGCGGUAAUAC